ACUGCACGGGGUUUAAUCUAGUAUAUAAGUAUGAGAUUAUUCUACAAGAUUUGAUUUUGUCAUAAAUUUCCAAAUUUAUUCUAUUUUUAAUAAGUACUCUCUCCAUCUUUUUAUUAGAGUCCCAUUUCUAACAUUUAUUACCCACAUAAUAAAGAGAAAUAAGACUCUAAUAUAAGGAUGGAGGGAGCUAUAGUCCUAAGGGCUACAUACAUCAGUACCCUUAAUUAUAGGACAAUCAAGUAGAAACGGAGUUUCAUUGUUAAUUCAAUCCAUCAAUACAUGCUAUAAUUGAAUAGAACGAUAAAUAUGACCGUGGAUUUUUAUUUUUAUUUUUAAUUAAAGGUAGGAAAAACAACUUGAUAUAAGAAGAUCUAAAACAAAAAUUCAAAAAAACAAUAGAUGUUUUCCAUGUGUAAAUGACAUAGGCAAAUAACAAGAAGCUUACGCGUCUUUUGAGUUGAGAUAGGCUCAGCCAUCUGACGAGCUGAAACUACACAAGGAGUGAGAAAAAGAACAGCGAAGAUGAUGCCAAUUAGAAAAACCUUUGAGGAAGCCAUUUUUUGACUCAACUACUAAAACUUGUUCUGGGGUGUAAUAAAACGUACAAAAGUUGAUCACUUAUUUAUAGUCAAUUGUAGCCUCCAUGUUGGAAUAUUUCCAAUAAUUAUGUUAUGUAUGGGAGGGUAUCCCACAUGGAAAGAAUAAGAAGGUUAUGUAUUGUUUAUAUAGUAAAUAAUUGGAUAUGAUUUAUGAAAUAGGCUAAGUGGUGUUUUGGACAAGUGGGCUAAGUGGCUUAAAUCCCUACCUUAUAAAAAGUAGAAACUUUCUCUUAUGAACAGUCUGUGGACGUUUAUAACCUAAAAAAAAUUCAUUUUACCUAUUUGCCCUCACGUCAAAAGCAUACAAGUAUGAGUUUAAUUUUAUUUUUAACCUCUUUCUCUCUUCUUCGUUCAGUUAUUUUCUGGCACAACUUUUCAUCUUUCUCACUAAAAGGACAACUCUUCAAUUCUUUAUCCUCAUCUCCACCGUCACCACGGGUCACUUCUUCUUCUCUAUUUUGAAAAUUCACUAACCUCUUUCUACAAUGGUGUGCAUCUGAUUUUCUUUAAUCAAAGGUUUCAAUUGAUUGAUGUUACCAAUUGCGCCUUUCUUGGGGUUUUAAACGACAUGUUCUGAAAUCUGAUUUAAUUUAGCAAUACAAUUUGGUGGCUUCAACGUUUCUUCCAUUGUGGAUGGGAAAUCUGGUUGGAAAGGAAUGAAACGAUUUUCCGGGUAGGUACUUUUUUUUUUUUGCACGAUUCGGAAUCCUUUUUGAUAUCCAAAGACCUCACAUUAUUCUGAUCAAUGAUUAUUUUGUUCGGGGGAGGUACUUUCUCUAUAGGUGAUACACUGAUACCAUGGAAAGAGGAAAGCUGAGAGUUCAAGAGCAUGUUAUUUGCCUUCAAAUAUAAAGAAUCAAAAGUAGAGGCUCAACCUGUUGACUUUGAUCUGGGAAUUCCACUAGGCUUCCUAAUUGCUAGCUUAGGGAAGAAUGUAGAAGGUCCUUGUUUUAUACAAUUUGACGGAGCCUGGAACAAGACAAACAAGAACAUGGGACUUGGCUGGGUGCUGGAAAUAUAUGGGUUGAUUGGGUUCAUCACAACAAGAGGAGGGUGCUUGUAGAAUUGUAGAAUGGUUGUAUGUCACAUGAUAGACAUGUGACUGUUUUGUCUUAUUUGCAGUGGCUCUAUUUCAUUGGUGACAGUUGUUAGCCUGGUGUAUUUUCUCAGCUUGGUGUAUUUUCUCUAGAAUGAUCUGUAUUCCUAGGUUAGAAUGUAUCUAGGGAUUGUAAGGAGCAGUGAUAUAAAUAUCCUUGUAAGGCUACGCAACCGAGUGAGAAAAACCAAAGAGUAAUUGUAUACUCACAAAAGUAGUGUACACUUAAACCUGGAUAAAAAGGAAAACAGCAAGUUUUGCUGAUAAAA
Molecule: long non-coding RNA, 1964 nt
Organism: Chenopodium quinoa (quinoa)
Lineage: Eukaryota; Viridiplantae; Streptophyta; Magnoliopsida; Caryophyllales; Amaranthaceae
Exons: 2
Source: RefSeq, a predicted model, not a curated record